AGGUAGCAUAAUCAUUUGUUAUCUAAAUGAUAACUAGUAUGAAUGGUCUGACGAGAAAAUAACUUUCUAAAAAGAAGAGAUAAAAAUUUAUUUUAAAGUAAAAAAGCUUUAUAGCCUUAGAAAGACGAGAAGACCCUAGAACCUGUUCUAUUCAUAUAGUUUGUUGGGGUGACAUUAUUCAAAACAAAUAACUAUUAAAACUUAUUAAUUGACUCUAUCUAUCUUUAUUAAAAAAAAAAAAGGUACUCUAGGGAUAACAGCAUAAUCUUCUUCUAGAGCCCUAAUCGACAAGAAAGAUUUUGACCUCGAUGUUGAAUUGAUAUUUCUUUCUAAAGCAGAAU
This 341-nucleotide ribosomal RNA is filed under the name Armadillo officinalis (oak-woodland pillbug). RNAcentral's name for it is "partial large subunit ribosomal RNA". It matches the Rfam family "Bacterial large subunit ribosomal RNA", at positions 1954 to 2561 of the family's 2925-position model. Lineage: Eukaryota; Metazoa; Arthropoda; Malacostraca; Isopoda; Armadillidae. The record is from RNAcentral.